UUGCGCACUGGCUCCGCGUCGGCCGGUCGGUUUGGUCGGUUGUAGUGGCCUCGCCGCCCGGUCCGCUGUCGCAGCGCUCAUCCGCGCCGGGAGCCCUUGGCUGCGUCGCCCGGCAGCCGCGUAAAGACGCUGCGAAUUGACGCCUUUUAUAAUAAAGACACUUAUCUUGCCCAAGAGCUGGGCAGGCUGAUUGGCGCUGGUUUCCAUCUGUCAGAUUGGACAGCAGUACCACUGGCUGUUGGGGGCUCACGACCAGAUAGAGUCUUGUCUGGGAACCACAAGUGAGUGUUGUUACCACAGCUCUGCAGCAGUGAGGGCACCUCUCAAUCCACGUGCAGUCGCCCCACCUUAUCUUCAGGGGAUACGGUCCAACACCCUCAAUGGAUGCCUGAAAUCAAGGAUAGUAGUGAACACUAUAUACACUGUUUUGUUAUGCAUCCUUCCAUAUCUACGAUAAAGUUUAAUUCAUAAACUAGGCACAGGAAGAGAUUAAUAACAGCUAAUAAUAAAAUAGAACAGUCGUAACAAUAUACUGUAAUAAAAGUCAUGUGAAAGUGA
This 558-nucleotide long non-coding RNA is filed under the name Homo sapiens (human). RNAcentral describes it as "novel transcript". Lineage: Eukaryota; Metazoa; Chordata; Mammalia; Primates; Hominidae. The record is from RNAcentral.